UACGUAGGGUGUAAGCGUUGUCCGGAAUUAUUGGGCGUAAAGAGCUCGUAGGCGGUCUGUCGCGUCGGCUGUGAAAACCCGAGGCUCAACCUCGGGCCUGCAGUCGAUACGGGCAAACUAGAGUACUGCAGGGGAGACUGGAAUUCCUGGUGUAGCGGUGAAAUGCGCAGAUAUCAGGAGGAACACCGGUGGCGAAGGCGGGUCUCUGGGCAGUAACUGACGCUGAGGAGCGAAAGCGUGGGGAGCGAACAGG
RNAcentral lists this ribosomal RNA (253 nucleotides) under uncultured bacterium. Its description in RNAcentral is "partial 16S ribosomal RNA". It matches the Rfam family "Bacterial small subunit ribosomal RNA", at positions 524 to 776 of the family's 1533-position model. The record is from RNAcentral.